This 480-nucleotide ribosomal RNA is filed under the name uncultured bacterium. Its description in RNAcentral is "partial 16S ribosomal RNA". It matches the Rfam family "Bacterial small subunit ribosomal RNA", at positions 28 to 507 of the family's 1533-position model. The record is from RNAcentral.
GACGAACGCUGGCGGCGUGCUUAACACAUGUAAGUCGAACGAUGAAGAAAAGAAUUGCAGCUUCGGCAGAAAUUCAUUUCGGAUUAGUGGCGGACGGGUGAGUAACGCGUGAGCAACCUACCUCUUACAAAGGGAUAGCCUCGGGAAACCGGGAUUAAUACCAUAUAACAUUGCGACGAAGCAUUUCGAUGCAAUCAAAGCUACGGCGGUAAGAGAUGGGCUCGCGUCCCAUUAACCAGAUGGUGAGGUAACGGCUCACCAUAGUAACGAUGGGUAACCGGCCUGAGAGGGUGAACGGUCACACUGGAACUGAGACACGGUCCAGACUCCUACGGGAGGCAGCAGUGGGGAAUAUUGCACAAUGGAGGGAACUCUGAUGCAGCGACGCCGCGUGAGUGAUGAAGGAAUUCGUUUCGUAAAACUCUGUUCUAUGGGAAGAAAAGGACUGUACCAUAGGAGAAAGCUCCGGCUAAAUACGUG